UUUAUUCUGUAAUAACUCAAACAAUUGCCAUUAUCUUAAUAAUGGCAUUAUACAUUUUAAUUUUUAUGGCACAAAACCGCACAAACCAAGUGGAUUUUUUUUUUGUGCCAAUUGUAGUGGGGGGCACCUUCACGCUGCCACUUUUAUUAUAGAGUUUCUGAGUUGGGGCUAUAUUGAAAUAUAUGCAAAGAUUGGCCAAAAUCAGCUGCUUCCACCCAUAAAGCAGAGUAUAUUAAAAUAUGUCCAUCACCCAGGCAAUUCCAUGAGCAACUGGGUGCAGCAAUAUGUAGCAUAAAGUAAAACGUGGAAUAGAAAAUCUUACACCACUGUACUGUAACUUCUAAUAGGAAAACAAUUGUUAAAAAAAAAAAGCAAAGUAAUACAUUAGAAACAUGCGUAAAAAUAAUUAUACUCUGUGAUCGACUGUAAGUGAACAUUUAAACUCCUACCUCACCAGCAGGCAGCUCAACCAAUUGGGGGCCCUCUUGUUCUGAGUAAACCUGCUCAGUCAACUAGUAGAAGCCAUACUAUAGCCACUUUUUAUACUUUGCCCAGACUACAUGUUUAUGGCCCACACUUUGUGCAGAGAUCGGUGGCCUGCUGACCGUGUGAUUACACAGGGGCACUGAAGAUAAUUCUCAGUUGUGAACAUGAUUGACAAAGUCUGAUGAUUGGGUGGGAGCUUUAAAGCAGUGUUGCAGUUGUAAAUUACAUUCAUCAUUUAACUGUGGGUGAAGAGCAUCCUCUACCCAGUAAGACGUGCAAUCGUAUAAAGUUGUUUUGGUGGUUAGUCUGACCAUUUAAAUUCUCCAAAUGAUCAUAUUAGGAGGAACAGGUUGGUGCGAUAUAAAUAUUGAUAAUAGUGCAGAAUAUGAAUGUAAACAUUGCAAAGUACUGUUUUACACAGAAGUGUCCGAGCUUGAGCCUCCACCUUUUGGCCAAAUUGCCCAUUUAAUUUUCAUUGAGCUCUGUGAUGGCCAGUGGGUUAGUAUGUCCAUUGAGGGCUGUAAAUAUUGUACAUUUAUGCCAAUACACUCUAUUAAAUUUAUAAUCACAGGGAAUAUACUUUGUGGUUUUCAGAGACGUUUUAGCUGAAAACUGCUUUCUUAACCCCUUAAGGACACACGACAUGUGAGACAUGUCAUGAUUCCCUUUUAUUCCAGAAGUUUGGUCCUUAAGGGGUUAAGGCCAAAUUCAACAUAAGAGCCUCCCUGUCCCCCCUGUCAGAUAAUGUACUAUAUAUUAUAUUGAUGGCAGAGGUUACAGGGAAUAAAACCAGCUGAGUACGUGCAGGCAAAGUUCCAAGUUCCUGGUGGUAGAUUGUAAAUCACACCUUCUAACAGAAUGUCGGACCUUCACUAAAGAACAGCUUGGAAAGUCUCCUAUAUUGCUGUAUUGUCUGAUUGGAUGUGCCAAACUUUAUAUUUGCCAUAGUAACUGGUGUAUGUGUGGUUUCUACAUAAAGGCAAACUAGAAUUUUAGAUUGGGACUUGUUUAGUUCUUUACACACAUGGGAAAUCAAAAUCAGGAGUUGCCAACAUGAAGAAUUAGCAUAUAGGCUGGUGAAGCAUCAUGGGAAAUGUCGUUUUUCUUUCUUUUUGAUAGCUGCCUGUUGGUUACUCCUGAUUUUAUAUUUUCAAAGUGCAUGCAGCAUGGGAGGCCCAAAGCCUGCCUUUCUAGACUCCCUUUGGCUGUGUACUAUAGAUUGCAACAUGGAGCUGCAGACACAAACCCUUACCAGAAUAGAGGCUGAGUGUUUGCCACCUGUUACGCUAUAUCAUGGUUGCCCAGUGUUUGAAGAUAGACUGUAUUUUAUAUACUGAACAAAUAAAGCAUAUUUACAUUA
Pelobates fuscus (common spadefoot toad) is the source of this 1846-nucleotide long non-coding RNA. RefSeq lists it as uncharacterized. The record is from RefSeq and is a predicted model, not a curated record. NCBI's taxonomy places the organism in Eukaryota, Metazoa, Chordata, Amphibia, Anura, Pelobatidae. The transcript is spliced from 2 exons.